UCCGCCCCGCCCCCUCCACCGGGCUGACCGGCCUGGGAUUCCUGCCUUCUAGGUCUAGGCCCGGUGAGAGACUCCACACAGCGG
Homo sapiens (human) is the source of this 84-nucleotide microRNA precursor. Lineage: Eukaryota; Metazoa; Chordata; Mammalia; Primates; Hominidae. The record is from Ensembl.